AGAGUCUGUUCAGCAGGAAGUUGGCACCGGAUUUCUGCCCACCCUCCCGUUACACCGGUAAGCACACGUGAGCUCAUGAGUGAUGUCACUAAAUAUUCAAAUAUUUUAUUAAUUUAUGAAUGAAUCAUUGUUAUUUCAGGAGAGCUCAUCGGGAUGCAGCAUCUCUUCAGGCAGACUGGCCAGGCACUGCAAGAUAUGCACCCGGAUUCAGUGGAGACGGCUCAGCAAAUCGAAGAGCAUGAUGUGGUGGACAGCGUGGAGGAAGAUGAGGGUUUCUCUGACCUCCCGGAAGAUCCAACAGUAGUCCUUGAGCCCUCUCUAGCUCCUACUGCCACUGUGACCACAUCAGUUGUCUCAUCCCCGGCACCCUGGACACCCACCAUCACCAUCACAGCUCCCAAGCCUUCCACACCGGUAGCUCCAAGCGCCACAGCACCCAGGUCAUCAGUGGCUGCCAACCCAUCUGCGCUGCAUACCAGCACUCCAGCUACUACAUCUGUAGCUGCAGCUGAAGAUGUGGUUGUUGAUGACAAAUACAAGCCUGGGUACCAGCACGUGGACAGCCUUGGCGAGUACCUGGUGGAGCUUCGGGAGCAGACAGCCCUCUUUUUAAACCGGCAGCAGACCGACACCAUCAUCUCCCUGUGGCAGAACCUGCAGGACUACGACAAACAGCAGGUGGUUUAUGCUGCACGGCACCAGGGCAGACUGUUGAGCGGCCGAUUUAGAACACCAAAGAAGCCCUCAACAACCCCUGGUGUGGAGAGCACCACUCGCUGUACGCUGGGGGCAAGUAGCGUUCCUGCUCAGUGGCCUGACUGCUGCCGGCUGGUUGAGAACAUUUUCAUGCGGUUGUGCAACCUGCAUCCAAGCCCCUUGAAACGUGGCAGGAAGACUGAUUUGAGGUGGUCUUUAAUUCUUAGGGACUACCAUCGAAUCAGACAGCUUGUCACUGGCAAUGCGCUUGUGAUGCAGGAUACAGACAUUCAACUGGUUGAGGUGAACCAGAACACCCUCAUCCAGUGGCACAACCAGAGGCAAAAAGGACUGGAGCUCUCCGUGAGGCUGCAGGGCACUGUCCUGCCUACAGCCCUCCCAGUGUCCGCACAGCCUCUUCAGGAGGCAAGAGUGCUCCCUGCGGAGCCCAUGCAAGCACGGGAGGAGCUCCAGUACCAGCUGCCUCACAGUAUGGCAGGCCAGGCACAGCAAAGAGCAAAAAGGAAGCUCUUUGCUAUAGCCCCAGCACCAGCACCAGCACCUUUUGUGGUACCUCAGCUUUCACCAGCUGGGGUGCUUCAAUGGGUACCGUGACCUUUAUGCAGGGUCGUCCCCUCAUCACCCCAGGUUCUGCCACUCUUCCCCAGCUUCCAUCAGCAAAGAGGGCAAAGAGGCCGUAUAAGCGUACGGUCAGCGGAAAUAAGUGCAAAAAAUGUGGCGAUUUCCGCAGCGCUGAAACCGGCCACAGUCAGUACCAGGGCAAAGUGCUCUGUCCGAGUACAGAACACUUGUCGAAGGAGCAGCGGCUGGAAGAAGCAAAAAAAAAACAACCAUCAAAAUAAUUUGUAAAUAGUCGUAUGGGAAUAAUUUUUGUUGUAAAUACUUAAAUAUUUUUAUAUAAGAGUUGUUUUUCUGUUAAUAGAUAUUGGUUUGUUAAUUUUUUUUUACCAAAGUAUUUCUAUUUUCCCAUGUUUCCAAGGUCACCGGUUCAAAUCCCUCCUGCGGUCAUCCAAAAAACUAAAACAAAUAUUAAAAAUACUUAUUUCUCAUCAGACAGCCAAGAAUAUAUAAAUAUGGGCACAAAGGCCCCCUUUCUCUCUUCUUCCUCAUCAAUUUUGGACUAUUGUUCCCCAGCUUGGCUCUUAGGCUCUGACUGGUUGGCCACCCUGGGUCUCGUGAAUUGGUAGUGAACUGGAAGAUCACCAGGUGUGAAGGCUUAUCACCCCAGAGCUGGUGACUGAGCCAGGGUGUAAACCCAAUCUUGCUAAAAGGCACCCCACGCAAUCCUGUUAAUGGAGAGAGUGGUUGGAGAUGGAUUGU
Molecule: long non-coding RNA, 2037 nt
Organism: Takifugu rubripes (torafugu)
Lineage: Eukaryota; Metazoa; Chordata; Actinopteri; Tetraodontiformes; Tetraodontidae
Source: Ensembl